ACGCCUCAGCAGAAUGGAGUUGUG
RNAcentral lists this non-coding RNA (24 nucleotides) under Arabidopsis thaliana (thale cress). The record is from RNAcentral. Lineage: Eukaryota; Viridiplantae; Streptophyta; Magnoliopsida; Brassicales; Brassicaceae.